GGGAAGAGCCCAAGAUUGAAAGCUGGCGUCUUCGGCGUCCGCAUUGUAAUCUCAAGAAGUGUUUUCCGCUUCGGACCAAGCCUAAGUCCCCUGGAAAGGGGCAUCAUAGAGGGUGAUAAUCCCGUACAUGGCUUGGAGCGCCCGAGGCUUUGUGAUACGCUUUCUAAGAGUCGAGUUGUUUGGGAAUGCAGCUCAAAAUGGGUGGUAAAUGCCAUCUAAGGCUAAAUAUUGGGGAGAGACCGAUAGCGAACAAGUACAGUGAUGGAAAGAUGAAAAGAACUUUGAAAAGAGAGUUAAACAGUACGUGAAAUUGCCAAAAGGGAAGGGUAGGAGGUCAGAGAUGCGGCCUGGGAUUCAGCCUUGCUUUUGCUUGGUGUUUUUCCCAGAUUGCAGGCCAACGUCGGUUUUGGGCACUGGAGAAGGGUAGGAGGAACGUGGCACCUCUCGGGGUGUGUUAUAGCCUCCUACUGGAUACAGCGACCGAGACCGAGGACAGCAGCGUACUCGCAAGAGCGGGCCUUCGGGCACCUUUACGCUUAGGGCGUUGGCAUAAUGGCCCUCUACCACCCGUCUUGAAA
Molecule: ribosomal RNA, 578 nt
Filed under: Moesziomyces antarcticus
Lineage: Eukaryota; Fungi; Basidiomycota; Ustilaginomycetes; Ustilaginales; Ustilaginaceae
Description: LSU rRNA
Rfam family: Eukaryotic large subunit ribosomal RNA
Source: RNAcentral